AAUAGAUACCCCGGUAGUCCACGCCGUAAACGGUGGGUACUAGGUGUGGGUUUCCUUCCUUGGGAUCCGUGCCGUAGCUAACGCAUUAAGUACCCCGCCUGGGGAGUACGGCCGCAAGGCUAAAACUCAAAGGAAUUGACGGGGGGCCCGCACAAGCGGCGGAGCAUGUGGAUUAAUUCGAUGCAACGCGAAGAACCUUACCUGGGUUUGACAUGCACAGGACGCCGGCAGAGAUGUCGGUUCCCUUGUGGCCUGUGUGCAGGUGGUGCAUGGCUGUCGUCAGCUCGUGUCGUGAGAUGUUGGGUUAAGUCCCGCAACGAGCGCAACCCUUGUCCUAUGUUGCCAGCGGGUUAUGCCGGGGACUCGUAGGAGACUGCCGGGGUCAACUCGGAGGAAGGUGGGGAUGACGUCAAGUCAUCAUGCCCCUUAUGUCCAGGGCUUCACACAUGCUACAAUGGCCGGUACAAAGGGCUGCGAUGCCGUGAGGUGGAGCGAAUCCUUGGUAAAGCCGGUCUCAGUUCGGAUCGGGGUCUGCAACUCGGACCCCG
RNAcentral lists this ribosomal RNA (548 nucleotides) under uncultured bacterium. RNAcentral's name for it is "bacterial SSU rRNA". It matches the Rfam family "Bacterial small subunit ribosomal RNA", at positions 777 to 1320 of the family's 1533-position model. The record is from RNAcentral.